GAUGAAGAACGUAGCGAAAUGCGAUAAGUAGUGUGAAUUGCAGAAUUCAGUGAAUCAUCGAAUCUUUGAACGCACAUUGCGCCCGUCAGUAUUCUGGCGGGCAUGCCUGUUCGAGCGUCAUUACGCCCCUCAAGUCCCCUGUGGACUUGGUGUUGGGGAUCGGCGAGGCUGGUUUUCCAGCACAGCCGUCCCUUAAAUUAAUUGGCGGUCUCGCCGUGGCCCUCCUCUGCGCAGUAGUAAAACACUCGCAACAGGAGCCCGGCGCGGUCCACUGCCGUAAAACCCCCCAACUUUUUAUAGUUGACCUCGAAUCAGGUAGGACUACCCGCUGAACUUAAGCAUAUCAAAAGCGGAGGA
RNAcentral lists this unclassified non-coding RNA (357 nucleotides) under soil metagenome. RNAcentral describes it as "partial contains 5.8S ribosomal RNA, internal transcribed spacer 2, and large subunit ribosomal RNA". The stretch from base 1 to 120 matches the Rfam family "5.8S ribosomal RNA", at positions 35 to 154 of the family's 154-position model. The record is from RNAcentral.